This 467-nucleotide ribosomal RNA is filed under the name uncultured bacterium. Its description in RNAcentral is "partial 16S ribosomal RNA". It matches the Rfam family "Bacterial small subunit ribosomal RNA", at positions 28 to 507 of the family's 1533-position model. The record is from RNAcentral.
GAUGAACGCUGGCGGCGUGCUUAACACAUGCAAGUCGAACGGAAAGGCCCAAGCUUGCUUGGGUACUCGAGUGGCGAACGGGUGAGUAACACGUGGGUGAUCUGCCCUGCACUUCGGGAUAAGCCUGGGAAACUGGGUCUAAUACCGGAUAGGACCACUUCCUGGAUGUUGUGGUGGAAAGUUUUUUCGGUGUGGGAUGAGCUCGCGGCCUAUCAGCUUGUUGGUGGGGUAAUGGCCUACCAAGGCGUCGACGGGUAGCCGGCCUGAGAGGGUGUACGGCCACAUUGGGACUGAGAUACGGCCCAGACUCCUACGGGAGGCAGCAGGGGGGAAGAUUGCACAAUGGGCGCAAGCCUGAUGCAGCGACGCCGCGGGGGGGAUGACGGCCUUCGGGUUGUAAACGCCUUUCGCUAGGGACGAAGCGUUUUGUGACGGUACCUGGAGAAGAAGCACCGGCUAACUACGUG